AUUAAUAUAAGCUAAUAUAAGCUAAUGAGUUCAUACCUCAUUAAUGAAUUUAUUUUAAUU
Molecule: transfer RNA, 60 nt
Filed under: Philodromus sp.
Lineage: Eukaryota; Metazoa; Arthropoda; Arachnida; Araneae; Philodromidae
Description: tRNA-Met
Source: RNAcentral